This 494-nucleotide ribosomal RNA is filed under the name uncultured bacterium. RNAcentral's name for it is "partial 16S ribosomal RNA". It matches the Rfam family "Bacterial small subunit ribosomal RNA", at positions 28 to 507 of the family's 1533-position model. The record is from RNAcentral.
GACGAACGCUGGCGGCGUGCUUAACACAUGCAAGUCGAACGGUGAAGCGCCUUCCUUUUUGGUGGGUGUGGAUGAGUGGCGAACGGGUGAGUAACACGUGAGUAACCUGCCCCCUUCUUCUGGAUAACCGCAUGAAAGUGUGGCUAAUACGGGAUAUUCUGGGUCUGUCGCAUGAUGGGUCUGGGAAAGAUAUUGUUUCGGUGGGGGAUGGGCUCGCGGCCUAUCAGCUUGUUGGUGGGGUGAUGGCCUACCAAGGCGGUGACGGGUAGCCGGCCUGAGAGGGUGGACGGUCCCACUGGGACUGCGACACGGCCCAGACUCCUACGGGAGGCAGCAGGGGGGAAUAUGGCACAAUGGGCGCAAGCCUGAUGCAGCGACGCCGCGUGAGGGAUGGAGGCCUUCGGGUUGUGAACCUCUUUCGCCAGUGAAGCAGGCCUGCCUCGUUUGUGGGUGGGUUGACGGUAGCUGGAUAAGAAGCGCCGGCUAACUACGUG